This 253-nucleotide ribosomal RNA is filed under the name uncultured bacterium. RNAcentral describes it as "partial 16S ribosomal RNA". It matches the Rfam family "Bacterial small subunit ribosomal RNA", at positions 524 to 776 of the family's 1533-position model. The record is from RNAcentral.
UACGUAGGGUGCAGGCGUUAAUCGGAAUUACUGGGCGUAAAGCGUGCGCAGGCGGUUUCUUAAGUCACACGUGAAAUCCCCGGGCUUAACCUGGGAACUGCGUGUGAUACUGGAUGGCUUGAAUUCGGGAGAGGGAUGCAGAAUUCCAGGUGUAGCGGUGAAAUGCGUAGAUAUCUGGAGGAAUACCGGUGGCGAAGGCGGCAUCCUGGACCGACAUUGACGCUGAACGGCGAAAGCUAGGGGAGCAAACGGG